CUACCCUUGACAUGCCAGGAAGUUGGCCGAGAGGUCGAUGUGCCCGAAAGGGAACCUGGACACAGGUGCUGCAUGGCUGUCGUCAGCUCGUGUCGUGAGAUGUUGGGUUAAGUCCCGCAACGAGCGCAACCCUUGUCAUUAGUUGCUACAUUCAGUUGGGCACUCUAAUGAGACUGCCGGUGACAAACCGGAGGAAGGUGGGGAUGACGUCAAGUCCUCAUGGCCCUUAUGGGUAGGGCCUCACACGUCAUACAAUGGCGCAUACAGAGGGUUGCCAACCCGCGAGGGGGAGCCAAUCCCAGAAAGUGCGUCGUAGUCCGGAUCGGAGUCUGCAACUCGACUCCGUGAAGUCGGAAUCGCUAGUAAUCGCGGAUCAGCAUGUCGCGGUGAAUACGUUCCCGGGUCUUGUACACACCGCCCGUCACACCAUGGGGGCGGGUUUCACCAGAAGUAGCUAGCCUAACCGCAAGGGGGGCGGUUACCACGGUGAGAUUCGUGACUGGGGUG
This 507-nucleotide ribosomal RNA is filed under the name uncultured bacterium. RNAcentral describes it as "bacterial SSU rRNA". It matches the Rfam family "Bacterial small subunit ribosomal RNA", at positions 975 to 1482 of the family's 1533-position model. The record is from RNAcentral.